UACAGAGGUUCCAAGCGUUGUUCGGAUUCAUUGGGCGUAAAGGGUGCGUAGGCGGCGCGGUAAGUCGGGUGUGAAAUCUCGGAGCUUAACUCCGAAACUGCAUUCGAUACUGCCGUGCUUGAGGACUGGAGAGGAGACUGGAAUUUACGGUGUAGCGGUGAAAUGCGUAGAUAUCGUAAGGAAGACCAGUGGCGAAGGCGGGUCUCUGGACAGUUCCUGACGCUGAGGCACGAAGGCUAGGGGAGCAAACGGG
This 253-nucleotide ribosomal RNA is filed under the name uncultured bacterium. RNAcentral describes it as "partial 16S ribosomal RNA". It matches the Rfam family "Bacterial small subunit ribosomal RNA", at positions 524 to 776 of the family's 1533-position model. The record is from RNAcentral.